UACAGAGGGUGCAAGCGUUAAUCGGAAUUAUUGGGCGUAAAGAGCUCGUAGGCGGUUUGUCGCGUCUGCCGUGAAAGUCCGGGGCUUAACCCCGGAUCUGCGGUGGGUACGGGCAGACUAGAGUGCAGUAGGGGAGACUGGAAUUCCUGGUGUAGCGGUGAAAUGCGCAGAUAUCAGGAGGAACACCGAUGGCGAAGGCAGGUCUCUGGGCUGUAACUGACGCUCAGGUGCGAAAGCGUGGGGAGCAAACAGG
This 253-nucleotide ribosomal RNA is filed under the name uncultured bacterium. RNAcentral describes it as "partial 16S ribosomal RNA". It matches the Rfam family "Bacterial small subunit ribosomal RNA", at positions 524 to 776 of the family's 1533-position model. The record is from RNAcentral.